Molecule: long non-coding RNA, 1829 nt
Organism: Nycticebus coucang (slow loris)
Lineage: Eukaryota; Metazoa; Chordata; Mammalia; Primates; Lorisidae
Exons: 3
Source: RefSeq, a predicted model, not a curated record
CAGCAGGUGGGCACUAGCCUGUUCCCCAGCUCUUCUUACCCCACCGGCCGCAGGCAUUUCUAACUAGGAGGCCUUCCUAAGGGUGGAUGGGGCUACUUUGUUCCCCGCCCACUAGAGUAUCUACCCAGUGCACGAGCUGAUAUUCUGGGGCUGGCACAGGGACCCUGAGCUGUGGCCUUGCUGUGAAGUCCUGCAAGAGAAGCUGCUCAGCCUCGGUAGUUUCUGGUGCCCAGUGAGGGGUGGCUGAGACACCCGGCUUGUUCUGGGGCCUGCAGACGAGAUCACGGGACUACUGAUGCAAAGCCACCAGAAGGAAGGCAUUCUCAUCAUGGUUAGCCCCCCUGGAUCUCCAUCUGCAGAGCCCUGUUGAGAGUGGAAGUCCCAGGAAUACCUGUUUCUUCUUACUUGUACUACAUUGUCCUGAGAGCAUGGCUUAUGACAACUGAGAAGACUGAGGGGCAGGUCAGCCUAACUGGACGCUGGUGCCCAGCUGGAGCCUGUGCAUCUUCUGUCGGCCUGUGCCAGCAGCCAUCAGGGGAGUUUGCAGUAAGAGGCUCCUGUCCACAGAGGCUUUUGUCUCGCCCAUUGUUGCUUCAUAGUGCUGGAAAGCACUUGUCCCUGCCAUGGCUGCUGGCUGGGGGUUCUGGCUGGGCCUUGGCUGGGCUGCAUGUUUCUGCAUUCUCUUCAAAAAAUAUCUCCUUUGUCCAUGGUUAAGUCAUAAAAGGCAUUUGGUUCUGAGUCACAUGAAAGGUAUUUUUGGUGUAAGGGAAGGAAAAAAGUUCAGUACUGCCAGGAAUAAUAUUUACUAUUGGUUCCAGUUGAAACCCAACAAUAAGACAUUUGAGUUUUUUUGAGAAGGGGUCUUGCUCUGUCUCUGGGCUGGAGUGAAGUAGCAUCAUCUCAGUUCACUGAGCCUCAAAUUCCUGGCCUCAGGGGAUCCUCCUGCUUGGACCUCCCAGAGUGCUGGGAUUACAGGUGUGAGCCACCAGAGGAUAUUUGAAAGAAUUAUUUAAAAAGAGCUUUAUGGUCAAAAGUUGGCCUAAUUAGAAGUUGACAGUUAGGCCAUAUGUAAUUUUUAAGGCCUCUCUUGUCUCUUAGAUCCUCCUUUUCCCAGGGGAGUGUCUUAGUCAGCAGAAAUACUUUCUCCAAACCCUGUGACUAGACACUCCUCUGACUCUGUCCACUCUGUGCUAGAAUUUACUAGCCCUUGAGAAAGUUUAAGGUCUCCCUACACUGGCUUCUAACACCACCACUUCUUAGCCAACCUUUGUCCCCCACCCAGCUGGCUCCUGGGGUUCCUUGGUCUGUCUGUCCCCGGAAAGCCUGACCUCUCCAACGUUCAUCCCUGCCAGAGCCUACCCCAGCCCCUCAGGCACUGAUCUCUGGGCUCCCGCUCUCCAGGACUCAAGGUCCCCCAAGGCAGCUACCUGAGGCCAAAGGGACAAAGUGAAACAGACCAUGACGAAGCUCAAGGAGGGAAAAUGAACCUACCAUCUCAGUGACCUCUGGCAACAGGCAACCCCCCAACUCCACAUGGAGAAAACGUCUUUCUCUGCCUCGGAGACGUACACUUUCUGUCCUGACUCUUCUACAAUCCAAGUCAUCUUCCUAAAAUACAAACUGUAGGGAGAUAACUGUUAUCAGAAAAAAAAAAAAAAAGAAGGAUCUGGAAACUGGGAAAAUGAAAAGCUUUAGUCAUCUGAGGGGGUAAUAUUAAUUUGUCCCAUUUUGCCAGAAACACAAUUUGGAUAAAAGUAGAAGUGGAGAUAAACCUGUGUGUUUAUAGUCCUAUGCUCUGCUGACUCAUGAAUAAAAGUUUUAAAAUGAAA